GAUGAACGCUGGCGGCGUGCCUAAUACAUGCAAGUCGAGCGAACGGACGAGAAGCUUGCUUCUCUGAUGUUAGCGGCGGACGGGUGAGUAACACGUGUAUAACCUACCUAUAAGACUGGGAUAACUUCGGGAAACCGGAGCUAAUACCGGAUAAUAUUUUGAACCGCAUGGUUCAAAAGUAAAAGACGGUCUUGCUGUCACUUAUAGAUGGAUCCGCGCUGCAUUAGCUAGUUGGUAAGGUAACGGCUUACCAAGGCAACGAUGCAUAGCCGACCUGAGAGGGUGAUCGGCCACACUGGAACUGAGACACGGUCCAGACUCCUACGGGAGGCAGCAGUAGGGAAUCUUCCGCAAUGGGCGAAAGCCUGACGGAGCAACGCCGCGUGAGUGAUGAAGGUCUUCGGAUCGUAAAACUCUGUUAUUAGGGAAGAACAUAUGUGUAAGUAACUGUGCACAUCUUGACGGUACCUAAUCAGAAAGCCACGGCUAACUACGUG
This 497-nucleotide ribosomal RNA is filed under the name uncultured bacterium. RNAcentral's name for it is "partial 16S ribosomal RNA". It matches the Rfam family "Bacterial small subunit ribosomal RNA", at positions 28 to 507 of the family's 1533-position model. The record is from RNAcentral.